RNAcentral lists this long non-coding RNA (702 nucleotides) under Homo sapiens (human). RNAcentral describes it as "LNC_000394". The record is from RNAcentral. Lineage: Eukaryota; Metazoa; Chordata; Mammalia; Primates; Hominidae.
CGGAGCAGGUAUCCAGCCAGUACUUGUGCAUUUUGCUGUAUUUCCCCGGGUUGCAGGAUAAAAACCAUUUCUACACUGGUACGUGAUUUCAUCUCCAGUUCUGUGUUUAAUCCUUAAAGGUGAGUAGUCACCAUUUGGAAUAUAAGGAUUAUCACAUGAUUUUUCUUCACAUGAAGGCAACGGACGCCAUCCAGAUUCAGUGCAUACAGCAUCUCCUCUUUCACUGUAUUCAUAACCCAUGUUACAUUUAUAUUGAAAUCGUUCAUUCUCCUUAUAAAUAAUCUUCUGAGAUAUAGGAGAUCCAUUUAUAACAUCUGGGGAUUUGCAUGAAAUUUCCACACACUUUGGUUUCUCUUUACUCCAAAAACCAUCGUCUGAACAAUGCAUUUCUUCAUCUCCUUCAAUCUUGUAGCCUGAGUUACAUACAAACCGUACUGCUUGUCCAAAAUGGUAUUCCCGAUCUGGUUCCAUUGCACUACUGACAAUUUUUCCAUUCUCUGGUGCUGUCACUGGUAAACACUUCACAACUUCACAUAUAGGAAUAUCAUUGGUCCAUCCAUCUGUGUCACAUUCACGGUAAUUAAUCUCACCUAGCAAUUGAUACCCCUCAUUACAUGUAUACACAGCUUUUACACCAUAUUCAAACACAUUUCCUCCUGUAAGGGUAAAAGUACCAAAAGGAGUAUCUCCAGGAUGUCCACA